This 598-nucleotide ribosomal RNA is filed under the name Streptomyces sp. RNAcentral describes it as "bacterial SSU rRNA". It matches the Rfam family "Bacterial small subunit ribosomal RNA", at positions 279 to 885 of the family's 1533-position model. The record is from RNAcentral. Lineage: Bacteria; Bacillati; Actinomycetota; Actinomycetes; Kitasatosporales; Streptomycetaceae.
ACGGGUAGCCGGCCUGAGAGGGCGACCGGCCACACUGGGACUGAGACACGGCCCAGACUCCUACGGGAGGCAGCAGUGGGGAAUAUUGCACAAUGGGCGAAAGCCUGAUGCAGCGACGCCGCGUGAGGGAUGACGGCCUUCGGGUUGUAAACCUCUUUCAGCAGGGAAGAAGCGAAAGUGACGGUACCUGCAGAAGAAGCGCCGGCUAACUACGUGCCAGCAGCCGCGGUAAUACGUAGGGCGCAAGCGUUGUCCGGAAUUAUUGGGCGUAAAGAGCUCGUAGGCGGCUUGUCACGUCGGAUGUGAAAGCCCGGGGCUUAACCCCGGGUCUGCAUUCGAUACGGGCUAGCUAGAGUGUGGUAGGGGAGAUCGGAAUUCCUGGUGUAGCGGUGAAAUGCGCAGAUAUCAGGAGGAACACCGGUGGCGAAGGCGGAUCUCUGGGCCAUUUACUGACGCUGAGGAGCGAAAGCGUGGGGAGCGAACAGGAUUAGAUACCCUGGUAGUCCACGCCGUAAACGUUGGGAACUAGGUGUUGGGGACAUUCCACGUCGUCCGUGCCGCAGCUAACGCAUUAAGUUCCCCCGCCUGGGGAGUACGG